UGGGGAAUUUUGGACAGUGGGCGCAAGCCUGAUCCAGCCAUGCCGCGUGAGUGAAGAAGGCCUUCGGGUUGUAAACUGCUUUUGUACGGAACGAAACGGCUCUGGUUAAUACCUGGGGCUAAUGACGGUACCGUAAGAAUAAGCACCGGCUAACUACGUGCCAGCAGCCGCGGUAAUACGUAGGGUGCGAGCGUUAAUCGGAAUUACUGGGCGUAAAGCGUGCGCAGGCGGUGAUGUAAGACAGAUGUGAAAUCCCCGGGCUCAACCUGGGACCUGCAUUUGUGACUGCAUAGCUGGAGUGCGGCAGAGGGGGAUGGAAUUCCGCGUGUAGCAGUGAAAUGCGUAGAUAUGCGGAGGAACACCGAUGGCGAAGGCAAUCCCCUGGGCCUGCACUGACGCUCAUGCACGAAAGCGUGGGGAGCAAACA
Molecule: ribosomal RNA, 427 nt
Filed under: uncultured bacterium
Lineage: Bacteria
Description: bacterial SSU rRNA
Rfam family: Bacterial small subunit ribosomal RNA
Source: RNAcentral